CAGUAGCGCGGUGGUCCCACCUGACCCCAUGCCGAACUCAGAAGUGAAACGCCGUAGCGCCGAUGGUAGUGUGGGGUCUCCCCAUGCGAGAGUAGGGAACUGC
This 103-nucleotide ribosomal RNA is filed under the name Escherichia coli. The record is from RNAcentral. Lineage: Bacteria; Pseudomonadati; Pseudomonadota; Gammaproteobacteria; Enterobacterales; Enterobacteriaceae.